RNAcentral lists this transfer RNA (71 nucleotides) under Marmota monax (woodchuck). Its description in RNAcentral is "tRNA.Ala". The record is from RNAcentral. Lineage: Eukaryota; Metazoa; Chordata; Mammalia; Rodentia; Sciuridae.
GGGGAUGUGGCUCAAGCGGUAGUGUGCUCGCCUGGCUCACGAGCGUCCAGGGUUCGAUCCUCAGCACCACA